RNAcentral lists this ribosomal RNA (253 nucleotides) under uncultured bacterium. Its description in RNAcentral is "partial 16S ribosomal RNA". It matches the Rfam family "Bacterial small subunit ribosomal RNA", at positions 524 to 776 of the family's 1533-position model. The record is from RNAcentral.
UACGUAGGGGGCUAGCGUUGUCCGGAUUUAUUGGGCGUAAAGAGCGUGUAGGCGGCCAUGUAGGUCCGGUGUGAAAACUCGAGGCUUAACCUCGAGAUGUCAUCGGAAACCAUUUGGCUAGAGUCCGGAAGAGGAGAGUGGAAUUCCUGGUGUAGCGGUGAAAUGCGCAGAUAUCAGGAGGAACACCAGCGGCGAAGGCGGCGCUCUGGGCCGGAACUGACGCUGAGGAGCGAAAGCGUGGGGAGCAAACAGG